Molecule: transfer RNA, 91 nt
Filed under: Bdellovibrionales bacterium
Lineage: Bacteria; Pseudomonadati; Bdellovibrionota; Bdellovibrionia; Bdellovibrionales
Description: tRNA-Ser
Rfam family: tRNA
About the family: Transfer RNA (tRNA) molecules are approximately 80 nucleotides in length. Their secondary structure includes four short double-helical elements and three loops (D, anti-codon, and T loops).
Source: RNAcentral
GGAGAGUUGGCUGAGCGGUUGAAAGCACCGGUCUUGAAAACCGGCGGGCGUUAAUAGCGUCCCGAGGGUUCGAAUCCCUCACUCUCCGCCA